GGCCUAUCAGCUUGUUGGUGGGGUAACGGCCUACCAAGGCUCCGACGGGUAGCCGGCCUGAGAGGGUGGACGGCCACACUGGGACUGAGACACGGCCCAGACUCCUACGGGAGGCAGCAGUGGGGAAUAUUGCACAAUGGGCGCAAGCCUGAUGCAGCGACGCCGCGUGAGGGAUGAAGGCCUUCGGGUUGUAAACCUCUUUCAGUAGGGAAGAAGCGAAAGUGACGGUGCCUGCAGAAGAAGCGCCGGCUAACUACGUGCCAGCAGCCGCGGUAAUACGUAGGGCGCAAGCGUUAUCCGGAAUUAUUGGGCGUAAAGAGCUCGUAGGCGGUUUGUCGCGUCUGCCGUGAGAGUCCGGGGCUUAACUCCGGAUCUGCGGUGGGUACAGGCAGACUUGAGUGAUGUAGGGGAGACUGGAAUUCCUGGUGUAGCGGUGAAAUGCGCAGAUAUCAGGAGGAACACCGAUGGCGAAGGCAGGUCUCUGG
This 485-nucleotide ribosomal RNA is filed under the name uncultured Actinomycetes bacterium. RNAcentral describes it as "bacterial SSU rRNA". It matches the Rfam family "Bacterial small subunit ribosomal RNA", at positions 235 to 732 of the family's 1533-position model. The record is from RNAcentral. Lineage: Bacteria; Bacillati; Actinomycetota; Actinomycetes.